UUUGCUUACUUCUACACAUAUUUUUCAAUUAUAAAAUGGAAAUUAAGUUAUCCAGUUCAACAAAACGAAGUGAACGUACAAGUGCACACGGAUACAUGCAAGCGGCAGCACACAAGAUCUCUUGAAGCAUUCAAACAAAUUAAGAUGUAUUUUUUUCUAUUUAUUGUCACGGAAGACGUCACGGAUACCGAUUCCAGAGAUUCCCCUAUCAAUGAACGAACUGGGUUUAUAUACCCGAUGUACAAUUGAAGGUAUAAAAUGCGG
Long non-coding RNA from Armigeres subalbatus, 264 nucleotides. RefSeq lists it as uncharacterized. The transcript has 3 exons. NCBI's taxonomy places the organism in Eukaryota, Metazoa, Arthropoda, Insecta, Diptera, Culicidae. The record is from RefSeq and is a predicted model, not a curated record.